Molecule: ribosomal RNA, 452 nt
Filed under: Aeromonas sp. Sven31r
Lineage: Bacteria; Pseudomonadati; Pseudomonadota; Gammaproteobacteria; Aeromonadales; Aeromonadaceae
Description: bacterial SSU rRNA
Rfam family: Bacterial small subunit ribosomal RNA
Source: RNAcentral
CACAUGCAAGUCGAGCGGCAGCGGGAAAGUAGCUUGCUACUUUGCCGGCGAGCGGCGGACGGGUGAGUAAUGCCUGGGAAAUUGCCCAGUCGAGGGGGAUAACAGUUGGAAACGACUGCUAAUACCGCAUACGCCCUACGGGGGAAAGCAGGGGACCUUCGGGCCUUGCGCGAUUGGAUAUGCCCAGGUGGGAUUAGCUAGUUGGUGAGGUAAUGGCUCACCAAGGCGACGAUCCCUAGCUGGUCUGAGAGGAUGAUCAGCCACACUGGAACUGAGACACGGUCCAGACUCCUACGGGAGGCAGCAGUGGGGAAUAUUGCACAAUGGGGGAAACCCUGAUGCAGCCAUGCCGCGUGUGUGAAGAAGGCCUUCGGGUUGUAAAGCACUUUCAGCGAGGAGGAAAGGUCAGUAGCUAAUAYCUGCUGGCUGUGACGUUACUCGCAGAAGAAGCA